ACGAACGCUGGCGGCGUGCUUAACACAUGCAAGUCGAACGGGCCUUGUCCCCUUUUUUUUGGGGGUGGGGUUAGUGGCGAACGGGUGAGUAACACGUGAGUAACCUGCCCCUCACUUCUGGAUAACCGCUUGAAAGGGUGGCUAAUACGGGGUGUUCUGGCCUGCUCGCAUGGGUGGGUUUGGAAAGAUUCGACCGGUUUUGGUUGUUUUGGUGGGGGAUGGGGUCGCGGCCUAUCAGCUUGUUGGUGGGGGGGUGGCCUGGCAAGGCUUUGACGGGUAGCCGGCCUGAGGGGGUGGGCGGUCACACUGGGACUGAGACACGGCCCAGACUCCUACGGGAGGCAGCAGUGGGGAAUAUUGCACGAUGGGCGCAAGCCUGAUGCAGCGACGCCGCGUGAGGGAUGGAGGCCUUCGGGUUGUGAACCUCUUUCGCCAGUGAAGAAGGUCCUGCUCUUUGUGGUGGGGUUGACGGUAGCUGGGUUAAUGAAGCGCCGGCUAACUACGUG
Molecule: ribosomal RNA, 506 nt
Filed under: uncultured bacterium
Lineage: Bacteria
Description: partial 16S ribosomal RNA
Rfam family: Bacterial small subunit ribosomal RNA
Source: RNAcentral